GUGCUAUUAAUAACACUAUCAGUAGGUCCUUGAGGGUUUCUUGUUCUGAUGGAACAAGUUCAUCUAUAUUUUUUUCCCAGUUGCACCAACCCUUCAGUAGCUUUGCCAGGCCCACUUCCCCCUGUUUUGCUCACACUCUCUUCUAUUUCACUAAAUUUCUCUCCCCAAAUAGCCAUUGCCUUAGUUUCUUUUGUUAGACCAACAGGACUAGGUGAAAUUACUCCUAGCACCCUUGCUCUCUUUUUCUUUUUCUUUUUAUUUUAACUAUCAACUUCUCC
RNAcentral lists this long non-coding RNA (278 nucleotides) under Nicotiana benthamiana. RNAcentral describes it as "long non-coding RNA (NBEN_LNC014337)". The record is from RNAcentral. Lineage: Eukaryota; Viridiplantae; Streptophyta; Magnoliopsida; Solanales; Solanaceae.